UGCCUGAUGGAGGGGGAUAACUACUGGAAACGGUAGCUAAUACCGCAUAACGUCGCAAGACCAAAGAGGGGGACCUUCGGGCCUCUUGCCAUCGGAUGUGCCCAGAUGGGAUUAGCUAGUAGGUGGGGUAACGGCUCACCUAGGCGACGAUCCCUAGCUGGUCUGAGAGGAUGACCAGCCACACUGGAACUGAGACACGGUCCAGACUCCUACGGGAGGCAGCAGUGGGGAAUAUUGCACAAUGGGCGCAAGCCUGAUGCAGCCAUGCCGCGUGUAUGAAGAAGGUCUUCGGGUUGUAAAGUACUUUCAGCGGGGAGGAAGGGAGUAAAGUUAAUACCUUUGCUCAUUGACGUUACCCGCAGAAGAAGCACCGGCUAACUCCGUGCCAGCAGCCGCGGUAAUACGGAGGGUGCAAGCGUUAAUCGGAAUUACUGGGCGUAAAGCGCACGCAGGCGGUUUGUUAAGUCAGAUGUGAAUCC
This 479-nucleotide ribosomal RNA is filed under the name Escherichia coli. RNAcentral's name for it is "bacterial SSU rRNA". It matches the Rfam family "Bacterial small subunit ribosomal RNA", at positions 127 to 601 of the family's 1533-position model. The record is from RNAcentral. Lineage: Bacteria; Pseudomonadati; Pseudomonadota; Gammaproteobacteria; Enterobacterales; Enterobacteriaceae.